Molecule: small RNA, 61 nt
Filed under: Marmota monax (woodchuck)
Lineage: Eukaryota; Metazoa; Chordata; Mammalia; Rodentia; Sciuridae
Source: RNAcentral
GCCGGGCGUGGUGGCGCGUGCCUGCAAUCCCAGCGACCUGGGAGGCUGAGAUAGAUCUCAA